CAAUAGCGUAUAUUAAAGUUGUUGCGGUUAAAAAGCUCGUAGUUGGAUUUCUGCUGAGAACGACCGGUCCGCCCUUUGGGUGUGUAUCUGGCUCUUUCUUGGCAUCUUCUUGGUGAACGUUGCUGCACUUGACUGUGUGGAGCGCUACCCAGGACUUUUACUUUGAGGAAAUUCGAGUGUUUCAAGCAGGCAUACGCCUUGAAUACAUUAGCAUGGAAUAAUAAGAUAGGACCUCGGUUCUAUUUUGUUGGUUUCUAGAGCUGAGGUAAUGAUUAAUAGGGAUAGUUGGGGGCAUUCGUAUUUAACUGUCAGAGGUGAAAUUCUUGGAUUUGUUAAAGACGGACUACUGCGAANGNAUUUGGNAAGGAUGUUUNCAUUG
RNAcentral lists this ribosomal RNA (379 nucleotides) under uncultured eukaryote. RNAcentral describes it as "partial 18S ribosomal RNA". It matches the Rfam family "Eukaryotic small subunit ribosomal RNA", at positions 592 to 975 of the family's 1831-position model. The record is from RNAcentral.